UACAGAGGUCUCAAGCGUUGUUCGGAUUCAUUGGGCGUAAAGGGUGCGUAGGCGGCGCGGUAAGUCGGGUGUGAAAUCUCGGAGCUUAACUCCGAAACUGCAUUCGAUACUGCCGUGCUUGAGGACUGGAGAGGAGACUGGAAUUUACGGUGUAGCGGUGAAAUGCGUAGAUAUCGUAAGGAAGACCAGUGGCGAAGGCGGGUCUCUAGUACGGUACUGACGCUGAGACGCGAAAGCGUGGGGAGCAAACAGG
RNAcentral lists this ribosomal RNA (253 nucleotides) under uncultured bacterium. RNAcentral describes it as "partial 16S ribosomal RNA". It matches the Rfam family "Bacterial small subunit ribosomal RNA", at positions 524 to 776 of the family's 1533-position model. The record is from RNAcentral.